Nematostella vectensis (starlet sea anemone) is the source of this 72-nucleotide non-coding RNA. NCBI's taxonomy places the organism in Eukaryota, Metazoa, Cnidaria, Anthozoa, Actiniaria, Edwardsiidae. The record is from Rfam.
UCCCAUAUGGUCUAGCGAUUAGGAUUUCUGGUUUUCACCCAGACGGCCCGGGUUAGACUCCCAGUAUGGGAA